This 640-nucleotide ribosomal RNA is filed under the name Staphylococcus aureus. RNAcentral describes it as "bacterial SSU rRNA". It matches the Rfam family "Bacterial small subunit ribosomal RNA", at positions 182 to 809 of the family's 1533-position model. The record is from RNAcentral. Lineage: Bacteria; Bacillati; Bacillota; Bacilli; Caryophanales; Staphylococcaceae.
UGAACCGCAUGGUUCAAAAGUGAAAGACGGUCUUGCUGUCACUUAUAGAUGGAUCCGCGCUGCAUUAGCUAGUUGGUAAGGUAACGGCUUACCAAGGCAACGAUGCAUAGCCGACCUGAGAGGGUGAUCGGCCACACUGGAACUGAGACACGGUCCAGACUCCUACGGGAGGCAGCAGUAGGGAAUCUUCCGCAAUGGGCGAAAGCCUGACGGAGCAACGCCGCGUGAGUGAUGAAGGUCUUCGGAUCGUAAAACUCUGUUAUUAGGGAAGAACAUAUGUGUAAGUAACUGUGCACAUCUUGACGGUACCUAAUCAGAAAGCCACGGCUAACUACGUGCCAGCAGCCGCGGUAAUACGUAGGUGGCAAGCGUUAUCCGGAAUUAUUGGGCGUAAAGCGCGCGUAGGCGGUUUUUUAAGUCUGAUGUGAAAGCCCACGGCUCAACCGUGGAGGGUCAUUGGAAACUGGAAAACUUGAGUGCAGAAGAGGAAAGUGGAAUUCCAUGUGUAGCGGUGAAAUGCGCAGAGAUAUGGAGGAACACCAGUGGCGAAGGCGACUUUCUGGUCUGUAACUGACGCUGAUGUGCGAAAGCGUGGGGAUCAAACAGGAUUAGAUACCCUGGUAGUCCACGCCGUAAACGA